This is a long non-coding RNA of Sardina pilchardus (European sardine), 750 nucleotides long. RefSeq lists it as uncharacterized. The record is from RefSeq and is a predicted model, not a curated record. NCBI's taxonomy places the organism in Eukaryota, Metazoa, Chordata, Actinopteri, Clupeiformes, Clupeidae. The transcript has 5 exons.
CUCCCAGCUGUGGAAUGCCAUAGAGCAGGUUCAACUCACCUGCUUUGCUAGGAAUACACCGUUUCCUCCUCUAGUGACAUGUUUCUGGUCAUCUCACCGGAGAUCAUCUGUCUUGCACAGAGAUAAUGAGCGAAAAGGAAUCCUAUUUCCCUUGGUUGUAUCCAGCUGCUGGCAAUUCAUCCCAGAACCAUCUCUCAUUGAAAGCUAUCCAUGGUCUAUACUUCAUCCUCAUCCCCUUAGCAGGACUUGCCAUAAUAGCGGCUCUUAUUGGUGUUGUGAUUUGUCACAUAAGAGGGAAACGGAGGCUUGAUGAACUGAGAUAUAAACUCAUUCCCAAAUAUGAGUAUGACCCAGGGGAACAGGAAGCCUUUGUGGAAGAGGAGGAUGACAAUGAUGAGGAAGAACAGCUAACAGAGCCACUCUGCAGUGACGGUGUUGGGCUGAAAGGGAAACUGGCUCUCAAACAGGACUGAUGGCAGACAGCAGAGCAGUGGCGGGCAGCUUGUAGCAGCCCCAGCCGUGUCAGUGGGCCUCACUGCAGAACAGUAAAGAGACCAGACAGAAGAGAGCUGUGGAAAUGGAAAUGGGUGAAUCUGUGUCAUUUCCACGUCACUAGAGGGCGCUCCUGUUAUUAUCAUCAAAUGACUUUCUGAUGCACUGUAGAGGAAACGCUAUAAUACUGUAGAUUUGUUGCAAUAUGUGGAGUUUGUUUGUUUGUGUGUGAUUACAUUAUAAAUGCAUUUUUUUACA